UCUCUAACUUCUCUCUAACCUCCCUAAACCCCUCCCAAGUCUAGGGAACCUCCCUAUCACGAGAAGAAAGCCCCGGAGCGCCCGACGGCUCCGAGAAGAAAAGCUUUCGGCUCGGAAACGCUGCUCCAGCGAAGCCCGGUUUUUAAUAAAAACCCGCUGUAAGUGAGUUACGCCUAUAGUAUAUUUAAUAUAGAUUUUAUUUAAUUAUAGUAACAUUGUUAGGACCUUAAAAUAAUUAUUUAGGCUAUUAUUAUGAGUUAUAUUGAGUGUUAUUUAACGCUUAUAUAAUAGUAAUAAUAGCUAGACUAUUAAAUUAGUCUCGUCAAGCGUUAGACUAAACUCUAGUGGUAAUGAUACUAGGUUUCGUCAAGGGAUAAUUGUUUUAAGAGUAACGAAGUGCUGUCCGAGUGCCGACUCACCACCUUUCAGGUGACGAAGUGAAGUGACAUUACACUGAGAGAUUUAAAAGAGAUGUAGAUCACUAGUGUAAAUCAUUGUACUAGUGAUGAGCACGGGAAGGCGCCGGCAUGAUUCGUACACACACGCAUUGGAGUUUUUGUAGAGAUUCUGGGGAGAUGUUUUGUGAUAAUAACAAUUGUUACAAUGUGUUUGACAUUAUUUUAUGAAUGAAUGAAUGUUUUAAAAACGAAAAAUUAUUUUGAAAAUUCAUGUUGUUACAUAUUACUAAUAAAGUAAUAAUAUAUGAUACAACUAAU
Lactuca sativa (garden lettuce) is the source of this 716-nucleotide long non-coding RNA. RefSeq lists it as uncharacterized. The record is from RefSeq and is a predicted model, not a curated record. NCBI's taxonomy places the organism in Eukaryota, Viridiplantae, Streptophyta, Magnoliopsida, Asterales, Asteraceae.